RNAcentral lists this ribosomal RNA (205 nucleotides) under Staphylococcus aureus. RNAcentral's name for it is "partial 16S ribosomal RNA". It matches the Rfam family "Bacterial small subunit ribosomal RNA", at positions 1337 to 1533 of the family's 1533-position model. Lineage: Bacteria; Bacillati; Bacillota; Bacilli; Caryophanales; Staphylococcaceae. The record is from RNAcentral.
AGUAAUCGUAGAUCAGCAUGCUACGGUGAAUACGUUCCCGGGUCUUGUACACACCGCCCGUCACACCACGAGAGUUUGUAACACCCGAAGCCGGUGGAGUAACCUUUUAGGAGCUAGCCGUCGAAGGCGGGACAAAUGAUUGGGGUGAAGUCGUAACAAGGUAGCCGUAUCGGAAGGUGCGGCUGGAUCACCUCCUUUCUAAGGA